Molecule: ribosomal RNA, 557 nt
Filed under: uncultured bacterium
Lineage: Bacteria
Description: bacterial SSU rRNA
Rfam family: Bacterial small subunit ribosomal RNA
Source: RNAcentral
ACGGGUGCGUAACGCGUGGGAAUCUGCCUAAAGGUUCGGAAUAACUCAGGGAAACUUGAGCUAAUACCGGAUGAUGUCUUCGGACCAAAGAUUUAUCGCCUUUAGAUGAGCCCGCGUAGGAUUAGCCAGUUGGUGGGGUAAAGGCCCACCAAGGCGACGAUCCUUAACUGGUCUGAGAGGAUGAUCAGCCACACUGGGACUGAGACACGGCCCAGACUCCUACGGGAGGCAGCAGUGGGGAAUAUUGGACAAUGGGCGAAAGCCUGAUCCAGCAAUGCCGCGUGAGUGAUGAAGGCCUUAGGGUUGUAAAGCUCUUUUACCCGGGAUGAUAAUGACAGUACCGGGAGAAUAAGCCCCGGCUAACUCCGUGCCAGCAGCCGCGGUAAUACGGAGGGGGCUAGCGUUGUUCGGAAUUACUGGGCGUAAAGCGCGCGUAGGCGGCUUUGUAAGUUAGAGGUGAAAGCCCGGAGCUCAACUUCGGAAUUGCCUUUAAGACUGCAUCGCUUGAAUCAUGGAGAGGUCAGUGGAAUUCCGAGUGUAGAGGUGAAAUUCGUAGA